This 528-nucleotide ribosomal RNA is filed under the name Triticum aestivum (bread wheat). Its description in RNAcentral is "partial small subunit ribosomal RNA". Lineage: Eukaryota; Viridiplantae; Streptophyta; Magnoliopsida; Poales; Poaceae. The record is from RNAcentral.
AUGGGUUUCCGUGAUAUCCACUGUUUCAACCUGGCUCUGCUUGCCAAACAGGCAUGGUGUCUCCUUGAUAACCCUGAAUCCUUGUGUGCCACUGUUCUAAGGGCCAAGUACUAUCCUGAUGGCGACUUGUUGAAUUCCAAACCAAAGCAUGGUGCUUCCUUCACCUGGCAAAGCAUCAUGGCAGGCAUAACUAUCCUAAAACGUGGCUAUAUUUGGCGAGUGAGGAAUGGACAUAAUAUCAAUAUCUGGGAAGAUGCCUGGAUCCCAAAUUGUGCCACUAGGAAGAUUGUGACUCCUAAGGGGGGACAAUUGUUGUCAAAAGUGGUGGAUUUGAUUGACCCCAUCUCCAAUAAUUGGGAUGAGGACCUGAUUAGACAAACUAUGUGGCCCAUUGACGCAGAACGGUUUCUUUCAAUCCCAAUUUCGCAACAUAAUAUGACAGAUUUCAUUGCUUGGAGUUAUACAAAAAAUGGUAUGUACGGUCUGCUUACUCUAUGGAGUGGAACUAUCAGUAUUGGAGUCAACUAA